Molecule: long non-coding RNA, 310 nt
Filed under: Medicago truncatula (barrel medic)
Lineage: Eukaryota; Viridiplantae; Streptophyta; Magnoliopsida; Fabales; Fabaceae
Description: long non-coding RNA (MTRU_LNC007110)
Source: RNAcentral
AGCCAUGGAAGGAUUUGUUCUUGAAGAUGAAGGUUUGGAUUUUUUGUUUUUUACCCAAAAUUUUCAGGAAAAGAAUCGUAGCCAGAGAAGUGAAGUGAAGGAAGGAGGGAAGAUUUUGAGAAGAUGGACACAGGGGUAUAAUGGUCUUUUCGCAACUCAUUUAACCAAUAAACAGAGCCACGUCAGCUAAUCAGUGAUGUGGCAGUGAUUAAGUGGGGAGAGGGACGAAAUCUUAAAUGAUUAAUUUUUAUAGGGGCAAAAUGGGAGGAUUAGUAAGCUCAGGGAUGAAAAAUCAAAUGGCCUAUAAUUG